This 519-nucleotide ribosomal RNA is filed under the name uncultured bacterium. RNAcentral describes it as "bacterial SSU rRNA". It matches the Rfam family "Bacterial small subunit ribosomal RNA", at positions 8 to 518 of the family's 1533-position model. The record is from RNAcentral.
AGAGUUUGAUUCUGGCUCAGGAUGAACGCUAGCUACAGGCUUAACACAUGCAAGUCGAGGGGCAGCGAGAAGGAAGCUUGCUUCUUGUCGGCGACCGGCGCACGGGUGAGUAACGCGUAUCCAACCUUCCCCUUAGUAGGGCAUAGCCCGUAGAAAUGCGGAUUAAUACCCUAUGUUGUUCGAUGCGGACACCUAAGUUGAACCAAAGGUUUACCGCUAAGGGAUGGGGAUGCGUCCGAUUAGGCAGCAGGCGGGGUAACGGCCCACCUGGCCAACGAUCGGUAGGGGUUCUGAGAGGAAGGUCCCCCACAUUGGAACUGAGACACGGUCCAAACUCCUACGGGAGGCAGCAGUGAGGAAUAUUGGUCAAUGGGCGCGAGCCUGAACCAGCCAAGUAGCGUGCAGGACGACGGCCCUAUGGGUUGUGAACUGCUUUUAUGCGGGGAUAAAGUGACGUACGUGUACGUUUUUGUAGGUACCGCAUGAAUAAGGACCGGCUAAUUCCGUGCCAGCCGCAGC